RNAcentral lists this ribosomal RNA (429 nucleotides) under uncultured eukaryote. RNAcentral describes it as "bacterial SSU rRNA". It matches the Rfam family "Eukaryotic small subunit ribosomal RNA", at positions 592 to 1018 of the family's 1831-position model. The record is from RNAcentral.
CAAUAGCGUAUAUUAAAGUUGUUGCAGUUAAAAAGCUCGUAGUUGGAUUUCUGGCUGGAGCGAUCGGUCCGCCCCGCAAGGGGUGUGUACUAGCGUCGUCUCCGACCAUCCUUGUGGGAACUGUGCGGCCGUUAACUCGGUUGUAUAUGGGAACACAUCGUUUACUGUGAAAAAAUUAGAGUGUUUAAAGCAGGCUUAAGCCGUUGAAUACAUUAGCAUGGAAUAAUAAGAUAGGACUUUGGUGCUAUUUUGUUGGUUUGUACACCGAGGUAAUGAUUAAUAGGGACAGUUGGGGGUAUUCGUAUUUAAUUGUCAGAGGUGAAAUUCUUGGAUUUGUUGAAGACGGACUUACUGCGAAAAGCAUCUGCCAAAGAUGUUCUCAUUGAUCAAGAACGAAAGUUAAGGUGAUCGAAGACGAUUAGAUACCAU